This 5996-nucleotide long non-coding RNA is filed under the name Brassica rapa (field mustard). RNAcentral describes it as "long non-coding RNA (BRAP_LNC007091)". The record is from RNAcentral. Lineage: Eukaryota; Viridiplantae; Streptophyta; Magnoliopsida; Brassicales; Brassicaceae.
AACAUGAGGGAAAAUCUGACACAGGUGCGGAAGAAACAGGUGAUGGCUCUGCCGCUGUGAAUGGGAAGCCUUCCAUUCAAAAGGACGAGACUACUAAUGACAAACUCGGCGUUGGCCAUGAUGCAGAGAAACAACAUUCUCAUGAAACAUAGAAGUGGUUAACAAACACCUAAAGGCGGAUUGAGGAAAAGUGAUCUUUCAGGUUUUAGUAUUUGUGCAGAAAGAAAUGGCCAAGUGGGUUUUUGUAAGUCGUGGAAGCUUACUUCAUGUUCCUUACAUAUUCUUAUGUAUAAACAGAAGGUUUUGCUCUCAUACGACAAUGGUUUUACUCUAGAAGCCUACACUAUGACACUUGUCUUCAUCUGUUAUUAAAAUUUGAAUAGAUAAUGCAUACAGAAACUUUAGAAUGAUUUUGGCGAUGGAUCAAAGGCAACACACCGUAUCCUUCGAUGAUAUCACGUUCUUGGCGUUGUUGUUAAGAAGAAGAACAAAUAGGUACAGCUUCCCAAAUGAUUUGCCCAACGUCAACAUUCAUAAGUAAAUUUUUGUAUUUAUGGAAACAAGAUCACAGCAUUAACACGAAAUCAUUACAAAAUCCCAUAUUUCCAUAAAUCUUUAUGUGAAACGGAAAGUUGAUAUAAACCAGCAUUCACAAGCUUAACAAAUGUUUCCUUUAAAAAGAUAUAUCAUCGAUCUCUUGCCUAAUAUCUUGGGGAAAAAAAACAAUUCUUUCAAAACCCUAUCUCUCUCUCGCCUAAGCCGACAGACGAUCAAUACCGUCUUCUUGCGCUAUCCGCCUGAAACUAUGUAAGUUAAAUACAAACAAGACUAACUAACAUGUUAAAACGCUGAUACAUACAUUGAUAUACUUGAUUGAUAGUGUGCUGGUUGUAAGAAUCGCUGUGCAAGUCAGGAAUGGACAACACACCCUCUGACCAAGCCAUAUCACCUGCAGGUAAAUAAGACAUCUCUGCCGUUACUCUGGAAUGUUCAAUCGGAAGUAAUCCAUAGAUAAAGUUAGGAUGCUAAUAUUAUAAAUCCAUUUCGUAAAAAGUUGUUUUAUUUAAAAUCACAUGUCUCAUUGCAACAGCUACAUAGCUUAAUAGAACAAUGCUAUAUAUAUUUUGAUGAAACUUAGUUUUACUACUUAAUUUAAUAAAUAAAUUUUGUUAUAUAUUUAUCUCUUACAAUACUGUCUGGGUGGUUAAUUAUAUUAUUAGUACAAAUUUGUAUAAAAUUGUAUUUAUUAAAAAAACUUGAAAAUAGUAGCAAUUUGAUUUGACAUAUUUUUUUUUUGUUUAUUGUAUUUUUUAAAUUCUAUUAAAAUAUAAAAAUUAUAACCGGAUUGAUUAGUUUUAGAAUAACAUAGAAUUUAAUAUCCCUUUCGAAUUUAUUUAAACAAGAUUCUUUCUAAAUUGAUAUUUAUGUGAAGGUAUGCAGUAAUAAAUUGUGAUAAUUAUAUUCGUUUAACAUUUAUUUAUUGUUUACUUUAUAAUCAUAGAUAGAUGUUAAAUAUACAAUAUUUUUAUAUUUAUAUUUAUGAAUCAUAGAUGUAAGAUUGACUAUAUUUUUUUAUAUUUAUAUCUACGAAACUCUUUUAAUAAAAACGAAAAGUAAAAAUAUAUAUCUAUAUAGUCAAUGAUAUAGAAUUCAUAUUAAAAAGUUAAAUAACUAUACUAUUAGAGUUUUGUAGGUAAGCCAACUGUAAUAUAAUAUGAAUUCCUUCUCUUUGUAUGAAUGAUAGAUCUUUUGUUUGCACUCGCAGGCCUAAUAAUUGUACUUAAAUAGUAUAUACAUAUAUUAUCAAUUCAAACACCGUUAGAGUAAAUUAUUUUAUUUUAUAAAAUAUUUAAUAGUUAACUAAAUAUUAAUUUUUAAUAUAUGAAAAACUUUUUAAAAAUUAAUAUAAAUAUAAUAUAUUGAAUUAAUAAUUUAUUUUUAUUUUGUUGAUAUGUAAAGAUAUUUGUUGUUAAAUUUAUUUUAAACUUUUAAUAUAUCUUAAGAUAUGCAAUUACAAUGUGAUUAUUUAAAAAAAAAUUAUAUAAUUAAGAUAUAAUUAUGUUUUUCUUAUAUUAUUAUUUUUCUUAUAUAUAGGGUUAACUAAAUAUUUUUUUGAAACAAAAAAAACUCAAUAUACUGAUUUUAUUUUUUUAUUAAAAAGAAGAAUUAAUUUCUUUCUAAUCUCGAGAUCAUAUAUGUAAAAUAUUAUUUAUUUUUUUUCUGUAAUUAUAAAAUAUUAUAGACAACUAAAUAUAUAUGAAAAAUAAAAGAACAUUUCAGUAAUACUAAUUAUAAGUUUUGUUUUGGUAGCAUUAAUUUGUGAGGAAAUAUAUAUUUUAACUGUCUGGCUAUUAUAUAUUCCGUAGGACCAAAAAAAUUAAUUUUGAAAAUAUAUCCCUGUGUGUAAUAAUUAUAGUUGGAAAUACAUGUAUCUUAUUACAAUUUAUAGAUUCUUUUGUAAAGUUCUAAAGAACGUAUGCCAUAAAUUAAAAUUGCAUGUCUUACAGUGACAUCUCACAUGCAACACAUUCCUCAAAGAAUCUACCAACUUCAGGAAGAUAUUUCAGUGCGUCCUAUCACGGUAUGUAUAAGAAGUGUUUGAGACAUCAGAAAACACCAAACAGAUAAUACUUAAAUUUGCAUCGACUUCAUGUGCUACGAUCACCACGUAAGCCUUUUAUUAACUUUAACAUAUACAUAUAUAUAUAUAUAUAUAUAUAUAUAUAUAUUUUCCAAUCCACCAUAUUUGAUUUAAACUACUCACUAUUUACUUAAUUAGUUCGGCACAACAAAAUUUGUUCACAUUCAGGGACAACUAUUAGAAGGUCGGCUCACCGGAAACAUUCAGCCGAAUGACCCAAAAAAUUUAACUGAAGGAGAUAUAUAUGAGUUUUCAGGAUUUUCUGUCAUACAUAAUUCACGACAUCGGAAACUGACCCAACUGUUAUAUUACAUUCAGAUCGACCAAAAGACAAUAACAUUGAAAGUUACAGACAUCAGUCCAAUAUUUCCAAUUCACAAUUUCUCUCCUUAGAAUUACAAAAAUCUAUUGCGCUUAGCCACUACACCCACCUGCGUACCAGGUAAGUAAGUUAGCCCAGUAUCAAUUAAAAAAACAUGGAUGUUUAUUCUAACUUAAAAUCAAUGUGCAGAUGUCGUCGGGUAGAUACUCAUAAUACAAAAAAUAAAUCCUUACCACCCAGAACUCAAUACUGAUGCCACGAUUGGUCUACGGCUGAACAUGUAAGUCUAACACAAUAGGUAAAAAAAAUAAUAAUUCUCUUCAUACAUACACCUCUAUCUCAGGUCGACAAUGGUUAAACUCAUACUGUUUGACAAGCAAGCAUCAGAUUUUAGCAUCCUACAAAGCAAGAAGAAUAGGAAAUUUAAAGUUGUUAUCAUCACAAGCAUAAUUCCUAAACUUUUCUAAGGUAAAUAAUUUUAUUAAACACGUCAAAAAAUAAUAGAUCUAAAUUUUUUUUAUCAACAGAACAAUAAUAUCCAAUAUUUUUCAUGCAAAAUACUACUCAGUUCAUCACCAGCAACAAAUUUCUACUUCAACAAAUCAAUUGAUUACAUAAAGCAUUUCAAAGGGCGAAUAAGAGAUCAUGCAAAAGCAUGUAUCAAAGAGUGACUUUAAUUCAUGAAUCAUUCGGAUUAUUAUUCUCUUUCCCAGAAGUUGAGUUUUAGAUUUUAUAUAGAAGUAGAGAUUUAAAAAAAACAAUGAUAAAAUUGUUUAAAAUGUAAAUAAAUCUAGGUAUCAAGUUCUGUGAGAAAGAGAAUAAUAAUCCGAAUGAUGCAUGAAUUAAAGUCACUCUUUGCUGCAUACUUUUGCAUGAUCUCUUAUUCGCCCUUUGAAAUGCUUUAUGUAGUCAAUUGAUUUGUUGAAGUAGAAAUUUGUUGCUGGUGAUGAACUGAGUAGUAGUUUUCAUGGAAAAUAUUGGAUAUUAUUGUUGUGUUGAUAAAAAAAAUUUAGAUCUGUAUUAUUUUUUGAGUGUUUAAUAAAAUUAUUUACCUUGAAAAAGUUUAGGAAUUAUGCUUGUGAUGAUGACAACUUUAAAUUUCCUAUUUUUCUUGCUUUCUAGGAUGCUAAAAUCUGCUGCUUGCUUAUCGCACAGUAUGAGUUUAACCAUUGUCGACCUGAGAUAGAUGUGUAUGUAUGAAGAGAAUUAUUAUUUCGUUUUACCUAUUGUGUUAGACUUACCUGUUCAGCCGUAGACCAAUCAUGGCAUCAGUAUUAAGUUCUGGGUGGUACCGAUUUAUUUUUUGUAUUAUGAGUAUCUGCCCGACGACAUCUGCACAUUGAUUUUGAGUUAGAAUAAACAUCUAUGUUUGUUUAAUUGAUACUGGACUAACUUACCUGGUAAGUAGGUGGGUGUAGUGGCUAAGCGCAAUAGAUUUUUAUAAUUCUGAGGAGAGAGAAAUUGUGAACUGGAAAUAUUUGACCGAUGUUUGUAACUUUUAAUGUUAUUGUCUUUUGGUCGAUCUGAAUGUAAUAUGGCAGUUGGAUGAGUUUCCGAUGUCGUGAAUUAUGUAUGACAGAAAAUCCUGAAAACUCAUAUAUAUCUCCCUUAGUUAAAUUUUUUGGAUCAUUCGGCUGAAUGUUUCCGGUGAGCUGACCUUCUAAUAGUUGUCCCUGAAUGUGAACAAAUUUUGUUGUGCCGAACCAAUUAAGUAAAUAGUAAGUAGUUUAAAUCAAAUAUGGUGGAUUGGAAAAUAUAUGUAUAUGUUAAUAAAAGGCUUACGUGGUGGUCGUAGCAUAUGAAGCCGAUGCAAAUUUGAGUAUUAUCUGUUUGAUGUUUUCUGAUGUCCCAAACACUUCUUAUACAUAUCGUGAUAGGACGCACUGAAAUCCCUUCCUGAAGUUGAUGGAUUCUUUGAGUAAUGUGUUGCAUGUGAGAUGUCACUGUAAAACAUGCGAUUUUAAUUAAAGGCAUACGUUCUUUAGAACUUUACAAAAGAAACUAUAAAUUGUAAUAAGAUACAUGUAUUCCAACUAUAAUUAUUACACACAGGGAUAUAUUUUCAAAAUUAAUUUUUUUUGGUCCUACGGAAUAUAUAAUAGCCAAAACAGUUAAAAUAUAUAUUUUCUCACAAAUUAUAUGGAUCCUUUAAGCAGCAUUGAAAUUGAUGGUGUACCAAUUUCUCAGAGUGAUGAUCCGACCAUGAAGAGCUCACAAGCAGUGACGAAGUUUCUCCCGCUGAUGAUUGGCUAUUUUGCACUAUCAGUUCCUUCUGGUUUAAGUCUUUACUGGUGAGAGCUCACCAGCAGCUGGUCUUGUAUAUCUUCCUGUGGGGAGUGAACUUCCCACUUGUUUUUCUUCUCACAUUUGAAGAGUACGUUUACAGGUUGACCAACAACAUUUUGAGCACAGCACAGCAAGUAUGGCUUCAAAAAUAUGGUGGUGCCAAAAAUCCAAUGGAGAAGCUCACUAAUUUGGUCACCAAGGAAGACAAAACUCAAAAAGUUGACAAGUCUAUUUCACAACUAGUUCAGAAGUCUGUCUCAGAGCUGAAAAUACCAAGAGACAAGGGUAGUGAAAAAGUGACCUCAGAAGGGCCCAAACCUGGUGAAAGGUGUGACUAAAUAUUCUGAAACCUCUCUAAUUCGUUACUAGAACCUAUUUGUUGUUUUUUAACACAUCGGUGUGAUUCCCAGGUUUAGGCUGCUCAAAGAGCAAGAAGCAAAGAGACGACGAGAGAAAGAAGAGGAGAGGCAGAAAGCUGAAGCAGCUCUGUCAAAUCAAAAUACAGACAGCGCACAGGAACAUGAGGGAAAAUCUGACACAGGUGCGGAAGAAACAGGUGAUGGCUCUGCCGCUGUGAAUGGGUAGCAUUCCAUUCAAAAGGACGAGAUUACUAAUGGGAAACUCAGCGUUGGCCAUGAUGCAGAGAAACAACAUUCUCAUGAAACAUAGAAGUGGUUAACAAACACCUAAAGGCAGAUUGAGGAAAAGUGAUCUUUCAGGUUUUAGUAUUUGUGCAGAAAGAAAUGG